UGGGGAAUUUUGGACAAUGGGCGAAAGCCUGAUCCAGCCAUGCCGCGUGAAGGAUGACGGCCCUCUGGGUUGUAAACUUCUUUUAUCUGGGACGAAAAAAGAUCAUUCCUGAUCACUUGACGGUACCAGAGGAAUAAGCACCGGCUAACUCCGUGCCAGCAGCCGCGGUAAUACGGAGGAUCCAAGCGUUAUCCGGAAUCAUUGGGUUUAAAGGGUCCGUAGGCGGGUCUGUAAGUCAGUGGUGAAAUCUCCCCGCUCAACGGGGAAACUGCCAUUGAUACUGCAGGUCUUGAAUUAUUGGGAAGUAACUAGAAUAUGUAGUGUAGCGGUGAAAUGCUUAGAGAUUACAUGGAAUACCGAUUGCGAAGGCAGCUGGCUAUGCGAUUAUUGACACUGAGGCACGAAAGCGUGGGUAGCAAACA
Molecule: ribosomal RNA, 422 nt
Filed under: uncultured bacterium
Lineage: Bacteria
Description: bacterial SSU rRNA
Rfam family: Bacterial small subunit ribosomal RNA
Source: RNAcentral